UGAGAGGAGCCAGAAGAAAAAGCUUGCCUUUCCUGGCUUCUUUAGAAUCUGGCGAGGCUGGGUGGAAUGGAGAAGUAAGGGAAGAUGCCUGUGGCCGGUACCUUGAAGACUUGACUCCUGUGAUUCUGUGUGCUGUAGCGCCGGUACCUUGCGGCAGUCGUCUCCCCCGUCCAGCAUCAGAAGGCGCUCUUGCGCCAUCGCCAGGCUGACAGCCCGCUCUCGGCGUGGCGACACUCUAGUCGCCGUUUCUCUAUGUCAAACAGGGCGCCCUCCUGAGCAGCCGGACCUCAGCCGGGAGGAGGCUCGCACUCCGAGCGCGCAGCCUGCGGGCGCGGGUCAUGGCGCGGCUCCCGAAGCUCGCGGUCUUUGAUCUGGAUUACACGCUCUGGCCUUUCUGGGUCGACACGCACGUAGAUCCCCCGUUCUACAAGAGCAGUGAUGGGACUGUACGAGAUAGGCGGGGCCAGAACGUCCGACUGUACCCAGAGGUGCCUGAAGUCCUGGAACGAUUGCACGGCCUUGGGGUGCCGGUCGCGGCCGCUUCACGGACAAGUGAGAUAGAAGGGGCCAACCAGCUACUGGAGCUCUUUGACCUUGUCAGAUACUUUGUUCAUCGGGAAAUCUAUCCGGGCAGCAAGGUCACACACUUUGAGAGGUUGCAGCAGAAGACUGGAGUUCCUUUCUCCCAGAUGAUCUUCUUUGAUGAUGAGAGGAGGAAUAUUGUAGAUGUCAGCAAACUGGGUACUGAGUGGUGUUACUUGCAUUCACGUCCAAAACGGAAUGAAUCUGCAAGCCUUAACUCAAGGAUUAGAGAUGUUUGCAAAAGCCCAGAUUGGGCCCUGAGGUCCAGCCCUAUGAAUGAGCCUCAUUUGAGGCCUAAAACUGAAAGGAAAUCAAGAAAGCAUUUUCAGGGAAGGAGAAGGGGCCAACCCCUGAAGCAGCAAUACAGCAACUGAAGGAGACAGAAAAGAUACUGAUCAAGAAACAGGAGUUUCUGGAGCAGAAGAUUCAACAGGAGCUACAAAUGGCCAAGAAGCACGGGACCAAGAAUAAGAGAGCCGCCCUGCAGGCUUUGCGGAGGAAGAAAAGAUUGGAACAGCAGCUGGCACAAACUGACGGGACAUUAUCUACCCUGGAGCUUCAGCGUGAGGCCCUUGAGAAUGCUACCAGCAAUGCAGAAGUGCUUCGUACCAUGGAGCUUGCUGCCCGAGGCAUGAAGAAGGCCUACCAGGACAUGGACAUUGACAAGGUGGAUGAACUGAUGGCUGACAUCACAGAACAACAGGAGGUGGCCCAGCAGAUCGCAGAUGCCAUUUCUCGGCCUGUGGGCUUUGGAGAUGAUGUGGAUGAGGAUGAACUGUUGGAGGAACUAGAGGAGCUGGAGCAGGAGGAAUUGGCCCGGGAGUUGUUAAUUGUGGGAGACAAGAAAGAAGAACCUCCAAUCAAAUUGCCUAGUGUACCCAGUAUACAUCUGCCUGCAGGGCCAGCUUCCAAAGUGGAUGAAGACGAAGAUGCACUAAAGCAGUUGACUGAGUGGGUAUCCUGAUGAGUCUGGGCUCGUCUUUCUUAUGCUGCCUCUGUUGAUCACUUUUCCUUAAGUGCCAAGUGCUGAGCUAAAGGAGCAUAGAUUUUUUGGGAGGUCCUGCUGAGGGUGGUAGUGUGACCAUGCCUGAGCAAGGCGUCUAUUGCCCUCCCAUCCCUGGCUCAACUCUGAAGGAUCUUGCUGGUUAUGGAGCCCUGGGCUCCCUUCUCUUUGAAAGCAGUUACUGUGUCCUUGUUCCCAAUAAAACUGGACAGAUGGAA
RNA transcript from Galeopterus variegatus (Sunda flying lemur), 1803 nucleotides. It is a transcript of the gene named magnesium-dependent phosphatase 1, with no coding region annotated. The transcript is spliced from 11 exons. The record is from RefSeq and is a predicted model, not a curated record. NCBI's taxonomy places the organism in Eukaryota, Metazoa, Chordata, Mammalia, Dermoptera, Cynocephalidae.